This 386-nucleotide ribosomal RNA is filed under the name uncultured bacterium. RNAcentral describes it as "bacterial SSU rRNA". It matches the Rfam family "Bacterial small subunit ribosomal RNA", at positions 30 to 416 of the family's 1533-position model. The record is from RNAcentral.
AUUGAACGCUGGCGGCAUGCCUUACACAUGCAAGUCGAACGGCAGCACGGGAGCAAUCCUGGUGGCGAGUGGCGAACGGGUGAGUAAUAUAUCGGAACGUGCCCAAUCGUGGGGGAUAACGUAGCGAAAGCUACGCUAAUACCGCAUACGAUCUAUGGAUGAAAGCGGGGGAUCGCAAGACCUCGCGCGAUUGGAGCGGCCGAUAUCAGAUUAGGUAGUUGGUGGGGUAAAAGCCUACCAAGCCUUCGAUCUGUAGCUGGUCUGAGAGGACGACCAGCCACACUGGAACUGAGACACGGUCCAGACUCCUACGGGAGGCAGCAGUGGGGAAUUUUGGACAAUGGGCGCAAGCCUGAUCCAGCAAUGCCGCGUGCAGGAUGAAGGCC